RNAcentral lists this ribosomal RNA (305 nucleotides) under uncultured bacterium. Its description in RNAcentral is "bacterial SSU rRNA". It matches the Rfam family "Bacterial small subunit ribosomal RNA", at positions 338 to 640 of the family's 1533-position model. The record is from RNAcentral.
CCUACGGGGGGCAGCAGUGAGGAAUAUUGGUCAAUGGACGAGAGUCUGAACCAGCCAAGUAGCGUGAAGGAUGACUGCCCUAUGGGUUGUAAACUUCUUUUAUAAAGGAAUAAAACGAGGCACGUGUGCCUUUUUGCAUGUACUUUAUGAAUAAGGAUCGGCUAACUACGUGCCAGCAGCCGCGGUAAUACGUAGGGGGCAAGCGUUAUCCGGAUUUACUGGGUGUAAAGGGAGCGUAGGCGGUUUAGCAAGUCAGAAGUGAAAGCCCGGGGCUCAACUCCGGGACUGCUUUUGAAACUGUUGAU